AUACGGAAGGUCCGGGCGUUAUCCGGAUUUAUUGGGUUUAAAGAGAGCGCAGGCUGAUUGUUAGGCGUGACGUGAAAUGUAGCCGCUCAACGGCUGAACUGCGUCGCGAACUGGCAGUCUUGAGUGAGUACGACGUCAGCGGAAUUCGUGGUGUAGAGGUGAAAUGCUUAGAUAUCACGAAGAACCCCGAUUGCGAAGGCAGCUGACGAGUCCUUUACUGACGCUAAAGCUCGAAGGUGCGGGUAUCGAACAGGAUUAGAUACCCUGGUAGUCCGCACGGUAAACGAUGGAUGCCCGCUGUUGGCGAUACAAUGUCAGCGGCCAAGCGAAAGCGUUAAGCAUCCCACCUGGGGAGUACGCCGGCAACGGUGAAACUCAAAUGAAUUGGCGGGG
This 393-nucleotide ribosomal RNA is filed under the name uncultured bacterium. Its description in RNAcentral is "partial 16S ribosomal RNA". It matches the Rfam family "Bacterial small subunit ribosomal RNA", at positions 523 to 918 of the family's 1533-position model. The record is from RNAcentral.